AGUCAUUGGCAAGGUCAGAAAGCCAGACUUGAGGGAGCUGGGCCUGGUGCCCACCAGCUUAACCACAGCACACACUGCAACUCAUUCAUACGAGAAACACACGAAAUGUAGGCUGUGUUGAGAAAUAAAUAGCAGAAUUGUAAUUAGGGGCCAGAGGAAAAGGUUGUGAAGACCAUGUCAAGAUUUAUGCCUGUGAGAUGGGUUGCAGAAUUGACCUGAGCAGACCAGGCUUCCGAGGGUCAAAAAAGCGUCUGAAGGAGAGACACUGAGUGCAUUCUGGGUUCACAUUCCCCUCCUCUACUGCAUUCCUGAAUUUUCUGCCUCACAGCGGCAUCUGAAGCAGUGGCUGCUGUGUUUGCUACACCUACUAGUAGUUCAUGAAUUAAAUGUAAAUGAAAUAGGAUAGAGAACAUCAGAGCACAGGACAGUAACAGGACAGUAACUGAGGCCCUCAGUCCAACAACCUGCAAGGAACUGAAUUCUGGCAACCACCAUGAGAGCCUGGAAGCAGAUCCUUCCCAUGUCAAGCCUUCAAAAGAGAUCCCAGCCCUGGAUGACACCUUGACUGCAGCCUCAUGAGACAUCCUGGAGCAGAGAACUCACUAAGCUGUGACUGGAUUCCUGACCCACAGAAACUGUGAAGUAAAUAUGCAUUGUUUUGAGCAAGUUUGUGGUAAUUUGUUAUGCAGCAAUAGAUAACCAAUAUGCAGCCUAAUUUAUAUUUGACUUCCUCUGCUUCCUUAGCUUCAGCCUCACAUUCCUGACUUGACAACCCUCAUACAGUGACACCUAC
Molecule: long non-coding RNA, 793 nt
Organism: Gorilla gorilla gorilla (western lowland gorilla)
Lineage: Eukaryota; Metazoa; Chordata; Mammalia; Primates; Hominidae
Exons: 3
Source: RefSeq, a predicted model, not a curated record